Molecule: RNA transcript, 2771 nt
Organism: Lycium ferocissimum
Lineage: Eukaryota; Viridiplantae; Streptophyta; Magnoliopsida; Solanales; Solanaceae
Gene name: protein arginine N-methyltransferase 1.6
Exons: 15
Source: RefSeq, a predicted model, not a curated record
AUGAAUAUACACCACCGUCCAAAAUACUUCUUCAUAGUCCACAAAACACCUAUGCAUUGCCUUUUCUCUAAAACCCUAAACCCCAAAUUGUUUCUCCGUUCCUUAAACAAUACUACUCCAAAAUCUUCCUUCAUUAUCCGAAGCAUGAGUAGUUGCGGGUCAAGAAUGUUCCAGCUCAAAGUCGACCCGCUUACCGGAAACUCCGAAUGGGUCGUCAUUGAAGAACACGAAGCUACUUCUGGAGAUGAUGCUACAAAACAACUUCUUGCUAAUACUUCCUACCUGGAUAUGCUAAAUGAUACUCGAAGGAAUAAAGCUUAUAGAGAAGCCAUUGAUAAGACCAUAACCAAGCCUUGCCAUGUUCUCGAUAUUGGAGCGGGAACUGGUUUACUAUCUAUGAUGGCAGCCCGAGCAAUGGGUUCUGGAGAUUCAGUGGAGAAUUCGAGCUCUAAGGGGAUGGUUACCGCGUGUGAGUCAUAUCUUCCUAUGGUAAAAUUGAUGCGGAAGGUUUUGCAUGCUAAUGGCAUGCAGAGAAAAAUCUGCAUCAUUAACAAGAGGUCAGAUGAACUAGAAGUUGGUGCGGACAUGCCUUCACGGGCAGACGUGCUUGUUAGUGAAAUACUCGACUCUGAGCUUUUGGGAGAAGGCUUAAUUCCAACUCUGCAGCAUGCUCAUGACAAGCUACUGACAGACAAUCCAAAAACAGUGCCUUACCGAGCAACGAUAUAUGGUCAGCUGGUAGAAAGCACAGAUUUGUGGAAGCUGCACGAUUUGUUUAACAAUGAAAAAGGAGUACUAGAUGAAAUUCAUCUUGUUCCAGAGGAAAUGGAUGCAGCUUUAUGUGUCAAACGCCAACAAUUUCCCAUGCAUUGUGAUGCAUUGAAAGAAGACAUCAAAUUGCUAUCAGAACCCUUCAAAGUAUUUGACUUUGACUUUUGGAGAAGGCCAGAUAGUCAUCGCGAAACUGAACUGAGUGUAAAAGCUACUGAUACCGGCACUGUUCAUGCUAUAAUCUCAUGGUGGUUGCUCCAGCUUGAUGAAAAAGGCACUGUCUUCUACUGCACUGCACCAAAAUGGAUAAGUCGUCCAUCUAACGUGGAAGGACUAAACGCAUCCAAUAGCUGUUGUGACAACUGGUGUGACCAUUGGAAACAGUGUGUUUGGUUCAUCCCAAAGAAAGGCUUGUCUUUAUUAAAGGAUGAAGAAGUUAAUUUGCUUGCUGCUCACACGGAUACUAGCAUCUCAUAUGAAAUGAAGACUUUGCCCCAGAACCUGAAACAAAGUGAGCUCAGUACUCAGAAGUACCAAAUCACUUUGUCGCCAGAAAAAAUUGCAUUAUACGGUGAUGUCAGUUGGAGAUGCUCAAUGCUAAAAGCUAUUAAAAAUGCAAUGAAGCAGAAAAUGCCCUCCUUGUGCAUUGUUGUGGAUGAUAGCAUAUUUUUGGCUGUUGCUCUGGCCCAUCUCGCAAAAGGGUCUCAUGUGCUUUCACUGUUUCCAGGAUUUCAAGAGAAAGGUGCGCAGUAUUUGCAAGCUGUUGCAGCUUCAAAUGGUUAUUCGAAGGAUCACAUAGAAGUCCAAAAGAUGAGUGAACUGUUGACCUCUCAAAAUAGUAAGAAAAAGAUUGACUUGUUAGUUGGAGAACCUUUCUAUUAUGGAAACAGCAGUGUGCUUCCAUGGCAAAAUCUGCGAUUUUGGAAGGAAAGAAGCUUGUUGGAUCCAAUCCUAUCAGAAGGCGCAGUAAUUAUGCCUCGCAAAGGAUUGCUAAAGGCUUGUGCGAUGUCUCUUCCUGACCUUUGGAGAAGUCAUCGAUGCCUGCAAGAUAUUGAAGGUUUUGAUCAUUCAGUUGUCAAUUCCACGUUAGGGGCAUGUGGAGGUUUACCUCCUGGACAAGAGAAUCCUACUCUGCCUUUUUCAGUCUGGCAAUGUGGUGAGAGCAAGAAAAUGAGCGACAUAGUUACCAUCAUGGAAUUCAAUUUCUUGAAACCGAUAAGCCUAUGUUCUGGAAAAGCUAAGGUAGAAUUUACUGCACGUGGAAAAUGUCAUGGAUUUGUUCUUUGGAUUGACUGGGUGAUGGAUACGGAAGAGUCCAUUGUCUUGUCUGCAGGACCAGAACAAAGAUACUGGAAGCAAGGCGUAAAGCUUCUGAAGGAGCCCGUGGCUGUCACAACUGAUUGUCACUCAGCAGACAUUAAAACAUCUUUUGAUCCAUCAACUGGUGACCUCAUUGUAGAUUAUGCUUUCUUAUAACCAAGAGCGCAUCAGUUGCCUUUCCCAAUUUGACCUGAUGUGAGUAAUUUUCCGAAUGUCAUCCAGUCCAGAGCUUUGUAAUUUUCCUCACUGUGUGGCAUAAAUACUUUUGCAAUGAAGGUCUAGCCCUAAUUCUAAGGCCACAGCUUCAAGGAUGUUAGGGUUCUAGUGGUUUUCACUGUCGGCAGUACUUGCUUUGUUAUAUUGCAGAGUCUGCAACUCCUUGAUUGCGAGUUACAUUGUGAUUUCAUCCUUUUGCCACCAAGAAAGAAAGUUGUAUCCAAAUGUGGUCUUGCGUGCAGAAGUUCGUCUCUAGUAUGGUGAAAGAAUUGCUGCACGCGGAGCUGCCAAUAUAUGGGUGCCACCAGAAGCCAGAAGGUAAACAUGAAGUAGUAGCCACUUCAUAUCGAUAAUUUACCGAUACUCUUGAAGAGAGAGGUUUCUUUAAAUUUCAUGCUUCAGAUAUCCUAAAUUUCAGGCAUAAUUACUCGCUCAAAUCUAUGUGGUUUGAGUAUUACAUGUCA